CCUAACACAUGCAAGUCGAACGGUAACAGGAAGAAGCUUGCUUCUUUGCUGACGAGUGGCGGACGGGUGAGUAAUGUCUGGGAAACUGCCUGAUGGAGGGGGAUAACUACUGGAAACGGUAGCUAAUACCGCAUAACGUCGCAAGACCAAAGAGGGGGACCUUCGGGCCUCUUGCCAUCGGAUGUGCCCAGAUGGGAUUAGCUAGUAGGUGGGGUAACGGCUCACCUAGGCGACGAUCCCUAGCUGGUCUGAGAGGAUGACCAGCCACACUGGAACUGAGACACGGUCCAGACCCCUACGGGAGGCAGCAGUGGGGAAUAUUGCACAAUGGGCGCAAGCCUGAUGCAGCCAUGCCGCGUGUAUGAAGAAGGCCUUCGGGUUGU
Molecule: ribosomal RNA, 383 nt
Filed under: uncultured bacterium
Lineage: Bacteria
Description: bacterial SSU rRNA
Rfam family: Bacterial small subunit ribosomal RNA
Source: RNAcentral